Molecule: long non-coding RNA, 402 nt
Organism: Onychomys torridus (southern grasshopper mouse)
Lineage: Eukaryota; Metazoa; Chordata; Mammalia; Rodentia; Cricetidae
Exons: 3
Source: RefSeq, a predicted model, not a curated record
AGAUGGUAUCAAACUGAGUGACUUUGAACUCAAAGGGCAUCUCUAGAAAAGUUCCUCCAGGUACCAGAGAACCACAUUCAUCACCUCCAGUCAGUUGCCAUCCGUCUUGAAAUCUCCAGGUGAUGAGCAUCAGAGAGUUUUAAAAUGGAAUGAAGUUAAAAGUAAAUGAAUUCACUGUUUGGAAGGGCUGCAGCUGUUCCCCAGGACCCUGAUCUCGCAGGACUGAUGGAGCAGUCUAGUCCUGAUCUGACUAGGAGAUGACAACUUGGUUCUUUGUAGUGAGAGGACAUCCCAUCCUGCAUCUACAGCAUAGUUCCUUCACCUAUCCUCCAUUGUUGCAUACCUGGCCUGGCUCCACACUUAGCUGCUGUGAACAGCCUUAAACACUGCUGUGCAAGUAUC